CCCUCUUUUUAACUUUGAUAACUUAACAUUCUAAUUUCCCAACAAGUGGGUCUUGGUGGCACUGCUGCAUGACGCAAAAUAGAGCUUGAGAGGGCUUGUUGCCACGAUGGCCGUGAUGGAGCUGCUCCGUGAUCAACCAGGGGUUGGUUCUCUACUGCCACUCCUAUGAUUUCUUCAUUAUUUCCAUUCACAAGCUCAACUACCACUGAACUACACCUAUUUAGUUGAUCUAGUUCAGAGUUAGGUAUUUUAAAUGCCAAUUGAAGUUUACGUGUCAAGCAAGUGUUGGUUGCUAUUUUUAGAUCCUUGACAAAUAUUUAGUUUCAUGAGUGAACUUGUUGACACAUGAACAUUUGAUGUUUACGCCGGCCGGGUCGAUGAGAAGCGGCUCCGCGCCAUUGAUAUUGCUUAUUAGUGAUGCCAUUUUCCCGUGGAUUUAUAUGGCCUCAACUGCUGCUGAGUACUAGGAGUUCUGAAAUCUAUCUUCUGUUACCUUGUCACUUAAAGGUCAACUUGAAUAGACUUUCAUUUGACACACUUCUAUUUGGAUUAAUGUUAAGCAACAACAUGAUUAUUAUUGUUUUAUAGUAUAUAAUGUUAUUCUCAUUUGUAGCCAUGGUAUGUUUUAAGAAUUUUGGAAAGCAUGUCAUUUAUUUUAAUGUUUGUUCUAAUCUCUUAUUUCUACUAUCUAAUGUCUAAUUUUGUUGUAAAUACGCUAAGGUAUUAGGUAGAGGGCUACUAUCAGGAAGGCUGACGACAAGAACCUCAAUAACAACCUCAAAUAGUUUGUUGGUACAAAUAUGCUAGGUAUCAUUAGGUAGCAGGCAACCAUCAGGAGGGCCGACGGCGAGAACCAGAAUAACAACCUCAAUCAUUUACAUGUUCUGUUUAUGUAAAUUGGAUUGUGUUAGUUCCAAACCUUGCCGUGUCUUUCACAUGUGCUGCUGAGAUGUUUGAUCACAUCAAAUCAAAAAAAUCUUGCCUUGUGCAAUUCCAUCAAAACAGCUUAGUGAUUGUUACUACAUGACAUACAUGUAAAUCCCCUGACAUCCCAUGUCCUACGUAAUUAAUUCGGUGCGUGAAGUAUUCUAGCUUGCGUAAACUAAGGUGACUUAGUACUAGUAUUAUGUUCAGUUGGUGUUCAUGUUUUAUGAUUUAGCUUGUACCUUAAUAACCAUGAAGUAAUUUGUAAGCCAUGUAAUAAAUUAUAUUUGCAGGUCUUGUCACCUUCUAUACAAAUAUACUGGUUUGUUUCAUUUCAUUAUUUUUCCUGUUAUAAGUAAUAGUACUCUCAAUACUUGCCAAGUGGACAUGUAAUACACUUUUUACACUUGUAAUACUGUUGUCUCUACUAUCUAUGAAUCUACAAAAAUCUAAUAUUCUUUUAAAUAUGCUAGGUAUGAUUGGGUAGUUACCCAUCAUAAUCUGCGCCAGGACAUGAUAGUUGUCAUCAGGAGAGUCGACGAAGAACCUCAACAGCAGCUUCAAAAGUUUAUAUGUUUUGUUGAUGUAAACUGGAUUGUACUGCUUCUUAACCUUGUUGUGUGAUAUAUUUAAUGUUGUGAAUUAUCAUUACAUGGAAGGAUUUGUAAAUUGCUAUGUUGUAUAUACACACAGGAUUUUUUUUGAGAAAAAUAUAUACAUACAGAUGGCCCGCAUAUUGCGUGAAUUGUUUGAAA
RNAcentral lists this long non-coding RNA (1679 nucleotides) under Triticum aestivum (bread wheat). RNAcentral describes it as "long non-coding RNA (TAES_LNC021344)". Lineage: Eukaryota; Viridiplantae; Streptophyta; Magnoliopsida; Poales; Poaceae. The record is from RNAcentral.